AGUGAACGCUGGCGGCGUGCUUAACACAUGCAAGUCGAACGAGAAACGGAUUUAGCUUGCUAAAUUGCAGUCUAAGUGGCGCACGGGUGAGUAAUGUAUAGAUAAUAUGCCUUUUACUAAGGGAUAACAGUUGGAAACGGCUGCUAAUACCUUAUAUGCCUUUAAUACAUCAUUAUGCAAGGGAAAGAUUUAUUGGUAAAAGAUUAGUCUGUAUUGUAUCAGUUAGUUGGUGAUGUAAUGGCUCACCAAGACUAUGACGCAUAACUGGUUUGAGAGGAUGGUCAGUUAGACUGGAACUGAGACACGGUCCAGACUCCUACGGGAGGCAGCAGUUGGGAAUAUUGCACAAUGGGGGAAACCCUGAUGCAGCAAAGCCGCGUGGAGGAUGACACAUUUCGGUGCGUAAACUCCUUUUAUAUAGGAAGAUAAUGACGGAACUAUAUGAAUAAGCACCGGCUAACUCCGUGCCAGCAGCCGCAGUAA
RNAcentral lists this ribosomal RNA (483 nucleotides) under uncultured bacterium. RNAcentral's name for it is "partial 16S ribosomal RNA". It matches the Rfam family "Bacterial small subunit ribosomal RNA", at positions 29 to 523 of the family's 1533-position model. The record is from RNAcentral.